This 408-nucleotide ribosomal RNA is filed under the name uncultured bacterium. RNAcentral's name for it is "partial 16S ribosomal RNA". It matches the Rfam family "Bacterial small subunit ribosomal RNA", at positions 28 to 526 of the family's 1533-position model. The record is from RNAcentral.
GACGAACGCUGGCGGCGUGCUUAACACAUGCAAGUCGAACGAAGUGGCGAACGGGUGAGUACUACGUGGGUAACCUGCCCUCCUUUUUGGGAUAAGCCUUGGAAACGGGGUCUAAUACCGAAUAAAGGGGGAUGGGCUCGCGGCCUAUCAGCUUGUUGGUUGGGUGAUGGCCUACCAAGGCGGUGACGGGUAGCCGGGCGUAGAGGAGGAACGGGCAAAUUUGGACUGAGAAAAGGCCCAGACUCCUACGGGAGGCAGGAGUGGGGAAUCUUCCGCAAAGGAAGAAAGUCUGACGGAGCAAAGCCGCGGGAGUGAUGAAGGCCUUCGGGUUGUAAAGCUCUUUUAAUCGGAAAGCGGUACCGGAAUAGAAAGCCACGGCUAACUACGUGCCAGCAGCCGCGGUAAUAC